AGGCCAAUGAGACUCUGUGCUAGGGAUUUAGCUGGGACUUUUAAAUUGUGUGAAGUCCUUUCUUUGUGUAAGUCAGUUGGAGUUCUUUUUCCAUCAUCGUUCUGCCAUGUCUGUCCCCAUGACGGGCAGCAGGCAGAGAAGAGCUCGCUGGAUUUAAUGGAGAUCCUGUGGCCUCAGUGAGGAUGGUAUCCAUGGAGCUGGGCUGGCCGAGGCUGGCUGAUUCUCACUCUCUUCCCCUUCUUUUCUCAGCCCUCAAAAUGUUGUCUCAUCUCUUUGAGGAAAGUGUGAAAAGCAUAGCAUUUGGAGCACCUGUGGGAGGAACAGAAAUGACAAGCAAGGUCUGUGUCUUUUCAUUAUGGACACCUCACCUGCCAGCAGGAGGCUAUCUUCCUGGGCUGCAAAGAACCCUCAGAAUACAGCAGGUCCCCACUAGUUUUCAAAGACUGCAAGGAGUCCAUAAUAGGAUCUCAAUGGAGACUUUUUCCUAUUUUAGAAACUGAGGAAAUAUCUGUGAUAAGAAGAUACAUGGGCAAAAUUAAAAUUCAUUUAAAUAUAUUUCUGGUUUCCCAUCUGUACUUGAAAAAAACAAAUCCUUUUCUAAAGGAGAGGGGGAUGUAUUUGUAAGGUUAAUAUCCUCAGGGAAAAGUGGGGUUUCCAAGACAAACUUCAUGUUUUUUCCCUUCAAAUUAUAACUUGUAAUUUAAUUUUUAUUCACAUUUUGUAUUCAUAUUUUCAUAAAGAAAUGCCAUUUUCAAACACCUCUUUAUCAUUUGAAUUACUGAAGAAAAAGAGCUAAGAGACAAAAUAGGGUAAGGAUUUUUAAGUCUCAUAUUGGUGAUCCAUUGGUCUCUCUCAUCCUCUGACACUCAUUCCUGUUAGCAAUGGCAGAUCACUGUAUCCUUGCAGAAGGUCUGGAAUGAGUAUGUAUCAUAAUUUUCAGAUUUUUAUCUCAGUCCCAAAAUAUCAUCUCAUGCGUUUGUUUCUUUGUUUUUAUUGGAAUCACCUUUGAAAUAGAAGUUUAGGCCUUGAGUAUUAGGAAUAAUUGUCCAACUUGCCUCUUAACAGAAGUUAACAUUAGGUUGGUUGGCACACAGGUCACAGCUCUCUUCUGAGCCCUCCUGAGUUCAGUCUUGUGUCCUGUCAGGCAUAAGUAAAAUUGUGGUUAUUGCUCAAUAGUGAUAACAGCGUCUUAGAAACAGAAGGAAAACCUCUCAUGCUAUAUACUGGGACAAAAAUAAAACUCUAAAUCCAUUUUUCCCUUUGCA
This 1265-nucleotide long non-coding RNA is filed under the name Oryctolagus cuniculus (rabbit). RNAcentral's name for it is "lncRNA (ENSOCUG00000035463.1)". Lineage: Eukaryota; Metazoa; Chordata; Mammalia; Lagomorpha; Leporidae. The record is from RNAcentral.